GUCAGCAGCCAUCAACAUUGAGGCAAGACCCUCCACCAGCAAAAUGAUUAUGACUUACUGAAGGUUCAGAUAAUCAUUCUCACUUUUUGGCAACAAAGUAUAUUUUAUUAAGGUGCAACUAAAAAUUCUGGAUAUUCUGUACAAAAGAAACAAAAUAAAAGUCUCAAGGAUGGAGAGGAGGGACUGGCUAAAGAUGCAGAGACCCAAUGAAUGACGCAGAGAGUCGUUCCACAGGCCCCAGCUGGCUAUUUUCUCUCUAUUCACCUUUAAAGGAGAGUUUUAUCCGUGUCUUGCAUUCAUAUAAUUGGCGAGUAUCCUUUUUGAUUUCUCUUAUGUGUUAAAUGAAUUCCUUUUGAAUUCUGCAGUCCAGCAGCCUGAGGAGGUGUGCAGUGAACUGUAGGUCAAGAACCUAGAUCUGCAUCAUUUGUUUUCUGCUAUGUGAGAAGCUGCCAUGCUAUCUACUGUAUCUGGUCACUACACCCAGGACAAGCUCAGACCCCUUCCUGAUGUGUCAGCCUCUUGUGUUUGGACAAGCCAUCCCCUCCCUGCCUGAUCUCUGCUUGGCUGCGUAAACAACUGGGAGUCCUAUUUCAGCUGUUUUCCGGUCCCUCAGCAAUGGGCAUUUGCAAUCUGAGUCCUACCUAAUGUUGGAGUACCAUUUGGCCCCGUUGGCCCCUCACUCUCUCCUUCUUGAAACUGUUUCCUUGCUUUCUGGGUCUCUGAUAUUCCUCUGACUUGCCUUCUAUCUUCAUGACUAUUUUUCUCAGUAUCAUUUGACAGCCCCUCUUGUUCAACCUGACCAGUACGUGUUUUCUCCUCACAAAUCUGUCUUGGUGUUCUUUUUAUUCACACACUCUCAAAGGGUGACCAACUACUGCAGUUUGUUCAAGCCUGAGAAUGUUCCCAUGACAUACGACUUUCAGUGCCAAAAUCGAGAAAGUCUCAAAGAAGAAUGAUUUGCUUACCCUCCCAUACAAAUCUUUGUUCCAUUGAUUUCAAGUACCUUUUGGAUGUCAAACGCUCUAAAAUUUAUUUAUUCGGCCCAGACCUCUCUUCUGAUCUCAUUUCCAGCUAUGUACUAGACAUCUCUGUUUGAAUGUUCCCUCCCACUCCAAAAUAUCUUCUACAUUCUCUAACUCAGGACACUUUACAGCAUUUAUCCAGUUGUCCUUUCCAUCACAGGGAAAUGAUCCCUGACUCUUCCAUCUCCCUCCAUUCUCACAUCCAAUUAAUCGACAAAUUGUAAUAAUUGUAUUUGAUUUAAAAAUGCUUUCAUAAAUGCCUCUCC
This 1288-nucleotide long non-coding RNA is filed under the name Homo sapiens (human). RNAcentral describes it as "HSALNT0388529". The record is from RNAcentral. Lineage: Eukaryota; Metazoa; Chordata; Mammalia; Primates; Hominidae.